This 2907-nucleotide ribosomal RNA is filed under the name Klebsiella grimontii. RNAcentral describes it as "23S ribosomal RNA". It matches the Rfam family "Bacterial large subunit ribosomal RNA". Lineage: Bacteria; Pseudomonadati; Pseudomonadota; Gammaproteobacteria; Enterobacterales; Enterobacteriaceae. The record is from RNAcentral.
GGUUAAGCGACUAAGCGUACACGGUGGAUGCCCUGGCAGUCAGAGGCGAUGAAGGACGUGCUAAUCUGCGAAAAGCGUCGGUAAGGUGAUAUGAACCGUUAUAGCCGGCGAUGUCCGAAUGGGGAAACCCAGUGCAAUUCGUUGCACUAUCGUUUGAUGAAUACAUAGUCAAACGAGGCGAACCGGGGGAACUGAAACAUCUAAGUACCCCGAGGAAAAGAAAUCAACCGAGAUUCCCCCAGUAGCGGCGAGCGAACGGGGAGCAGCCCGGAGUCUGAAUCAGCUUGUGUGUUAGUGGAAGCGUCUGGAAAGUCGCAGGGUACAGGGUGAUACUCCCGUACACUAAAACGCACAGGCUGUGAACUCGAAGAGUAGGGCGGGACACGUGGUAUCCUGUCUGAAUAUGGGGGGACCAUCCUCCAAGGCUAAAUACUCCUGACUGACCGAUAGUGAACCAGUACCGUGAGGGAAAGGCGAAAAGAACCCCGGCGAGGGGAGUGAAAAAGAACCUGAAACCGUGUACGUACAAGCAGUAGGAGCCUCUUUAUGGGGUGACUGCGUACCUUUUGUAUAAUGGGUCAGCGACUUAUAUUCUGUAGCAAGGUUAACCGUAUAGGGGAGCCGCAGGGAAACCGAGUCUUAACUGGGCGUUAAGUUGCAGGGUAUAGACCCGAAACCCGGUGAUCUAGCCAUGGGCAGGUUGAAGGUUGGGUAACACUAACUGGAGGACCGAACCGACUAAUGUUGAAAAAUUAGCGGAUGACUUGUGGCUGGGGGUGAAAGGCCAAUCAAACCGGGAGAUAGCUGGUUCUCCCCGAAAGCUAUUUAGGUAGCGCCUCGUGAACUCAUCUUCGGGGGUAGAGCACUGUUUCGGCUAGGGGGUCAUCCCGACUUACCAACCCGAUGCAAACUACGAAUACCGAAGAAUGUUAUCACGGGAGACACACGGCGGGUGCUAACGUCCGUCGUGAAGAGGGAAACAACCCAGACCGCCAGCUAAGGUCCCAAAGUCAUGGUUAAGUGGGAAACGAUGUGGGAAGGCCCAGACAGCCAGGAUGUUGGCUUAGAAGCAGCCAUCAUUUAAAGAAAGCGUAAUAGCUCACUGGUCGAGUCGGCCUGCGCGGAAGAUGUAACGGGGCUAAACCAUGCACCGAAGCUGCGGCAGCGACACUAUGUGUUGUUGGGUAGGGGAGCGUUCUGUAAGCCGUUGAAGGUGGCCUGUGAGGGUUGCUGGAGGUAUCAGAAGUGCGAAUGCUGACAUAAGUAACGAUAAUGCGGGUGAAAAACCCGCACGCCGGAAGACCAAGGGUUCCUGUCCAACGUUAAUCGGGGCAGGGUGAGUCGACCCCUAAGGCGAGGCCGAAAGGCGUAGUCGAUGGGAAACAGGUUAAUAUUCCUGUACUCGGUGUUACUGCGAAGGGGGGACGGAGAAGGCUAUGUUGGCCGGGCGACGGUUGUCCCGGUUUAAGCAUGUAGGCGGAUGUUCCAGGUAAAUCCGGAACGUUAUUAACGCUGAGGUGUGAUGACGAGGCACUACGGUGCUGAAGUGACAAAUGCCCUGCUUCCAGGAAAAGCCUCUAAGCAUCAGGUAACAUCAAAUCGUACCCCAAACCGACACAGGUGGUCAGGUAGAGAAUACCAAGGCGCUUGAGAGAACUCGGGUGAAGGAACUAGGCAAAAUGGUGCCGUAACUUCGGGAGAAGGCACGCUGAUAUGUAGGUGAAGUGGUUUACCCAUGGAGCUGAAAUCAGUCGAAGAUACCAGCUGGCUGCAACUGUUUAUUAAAAACACAGCACUGUGCAAACACGAAAGUGGACGUAUACGGUGUGACGCCUGCCCGGUGCCGGAAGGUUAAUUGAUGGGGUUAUCCGUAAGGAGAAGCUCUUGAUCGAAGCCCCGGUAAACGGCGGCCGUAACUAUAACGGUCCUAAGGUAGCGAAAUUCCUUGUCGGGUAAGUUCCGACCUGCACGAAUGGCGUAAUGAUGGCCAGGCUGUCUCCACCCGAGACUCAGUGAAAUUGAACUCGCUGUGAAGAUGCAGUGUACCCGCGGCAAGACGGAAAGACCCCGUGAACCUUUACUAUAGCUUGACACUGAACACUGGUCCUUGAUGUGUAGGAUAGGUGGGAGGCUUUGAAGCGUGGACGCCAGUCUGCGUGGAGCCAUCCUUGAAAUACCACCCUUUAAUGGCUGGUGUUCUAACGUGGGCCCGUUAUCCGGGUUGCGGACAGUGUCUGGUGGGUAGUUUGACUGGGGCGGUCUCCUCCUAAAGAGUAACGGAGGAGCACGAAGGUCAGCUAAUCCUGGUCGGACAUCAGGAGGUUAGUGCAAUGGCAUAAGCUGGCUUGACUGCGAGCGUGACGGCGCGAGCAGGUGCGAAAGCAGGUCAUAGUGAUCCGGUGGUUCUGAAUGGAAGGGCCAUCGCUCAACGGAUAAAAGGUACUCCGGGGAUAACAGGCUGAUACCGCCCAAGAGUUCAUAUCGACGGCGGUGUUUGGCACCUCGAUGUCGGCUCAUCACAUCCUGGGGCUGAAGUAGGUCCCAAGGGUAUGGCUGUUCGCCAUUUAAAGUGGUACGCGAGCUGGGUUUAGAACGUCGUGAGACAGUUCGGUCCCUAUCUGCCGUGGGCGCUGGAGAAUUGAGGGGGGCUGCUCCUAGUACGAGAGGACCGGAGUGGACGCAUCACUGGUGUUCGGGUUGUCAUGCCAAUGGCAUUGCCCGGUAGCUAAAUGCGGAAGAGAUAAGUGCUGAAAGCAUCUAAGCACGAAACUUGCCCCGAGAUGAGUUCUCCCUGACUCCUUGAGAGUCCUGAAGGAACGUUGAAGACGACGACGUUGAUAGGCCGGGUGUGUAAGCGCAGCGAUGCGUUGAGCUAACCGGUACUAAUGAACCGUGAGGCUUAACCUU